CACGGGGGGAACGCGAAGAACCUUACCACCUUUUGACAUGCCUGGACCGCCACGGAGACGUGGCUUUCCCUUCGGGGACUAGGACACAGGUGCUGCAUGGCUGUCGUCAGCUCGUGUCGUGAGAUGUUGGGUUAAGUCCCGCAACGAGCGCAACCCUCGCCAUUAGUUGCCAUCAUUUAGUUGGGAACUCUAAUGGGACUGCCGGUGCUAAGCCGGAGGAAGGUGGGGAUGACGUCAAGUCCUCAUGGCCCUUACAGGGUGGGCUACACACGUGCUACAAUGGCUACUACAGAGGGUUAAUCCUUAAAAGUAGUCUCAGUUCGGAUUGUCCUCUGCAACUCGAGGGCAUGAAGUUGGAAUCGCUAGUAAUCGCGG
Molecule: ribosomal RNA, 375 nt
Filed under: uncultured bacterium
Lineage: Bacteria
Description: bacterial SSU rRNA
Rfam family: Bacterial small subunit ribosomal RNA
Source: RNAcentral